AACGAACGCUGGCGGCAUGCCUAACACAUGCAAGUCGAACGAGACCUUCGGGUCUUGUGGCGCACGGGUGCGUAACGCGGGGGAACCUGCCCUUAGGUUCGGAAUCACUCCCCGAAGGGGGUGCUAAUACCGGAUAAUGUCUUCGGACCUAAGAUUUGUUGCCUUUGGGUGGGGCCGCGUUGGAUUAGCUAGUUGGUAGGGUAAAAGCCUACCAAGGCGACGAUGCAUAGCUGGUCGGGGAGGAUGAUCAGCCACACUGGGACUGAGACACGGCCCAGACUCCUACGGGAGGGAGCGGUGGGGAAUAUUGGACGAGGGGCGAAAGCCUGAUCCAGCAAUGCCGCGUGAGUGAGGAAGGCCUUAGGGUUGUAAAGCUCUUUUACCCGAGAUGAUAAUGACGGUACCGGGAGAAUAAGCACCGGCUAACUCCGUG
Molecule: ribosomal RNA, 433 nt
Filed under: uncultured bacterium
Lineage: Bacteria
Description: partial 16S ribosomal RNA
Rfam family: Bacterial small subunit ribosomal RNA
Source: RNAcentral